RNAcentral lists this long non-coding RNA (300 nucleotides) under Daucus carota (carrot). Its description in RNAcentral is "long non-coding RNA (DCAR_LNC007052)". Lineage: Eukaryota; Viridiplantae; Streptophyta; Magnoliopsida; Apiales; Apiaceae. The record is from RNAcentral.
UAUGAAAUAUUUAAAACUGUUAUUGUUGCAAAAAUGAUUGGUGAGCGUAAGAGGCCGAGUGACGCCGGUCCAGCGUACUUCAGGUGGCGUAAGAGGCUAGUUUCACUAGUCCAGCGUAAAAGGCCAGAGAGUUGCCUAAUUGGGUGCCCAAUUGAUGUCCAGAGGGACUUUAUGUCCGGUAUGGGGACAUACGUGGCUGAUCACCCGUAUGGUCCAGAAGCGUCGAGUAAGGAUCCAAUCAUAAUGCUUAUUUUAAAUUUUAUGAAAAGAAUGUUUAUUUGGAAAAAGCUCUGAUGCGAN